GCAAAAAGCAAGUGUGUGUGUGUGUGUGUAAGCUUUAGUUCUUCAGAUUCUAGAAUAGAGGUGGCCAUCAUCACAACAAGUGGGGGGUGGGUGUGCGUUUUGAUCAAAGGGAAGGGAGGGAAGGGGGCUUUGGAGAGUGUGCCUGCCUCCUCCCCUUCCCUUGCCUCCCUUUCACAGCAGAAGGGGAGGGGGAAGAGCAGGUCCUCAUUCUG
Molecule: long non-coding RNA, 212 nt
Filed under: Physcomitrium patens
Lineage: Eukaryota; Viridiplantae; Streptophyta; Bryopsida; Funariales; Funariaceae
Description: long non-coding RNA (PPAT_LNC000562)
Source: RNAcentral